Molecule: ribosomal RNA, 253 nt
Filed under: uncultured bacterium
Lineage: Bacteria
Description: partial 16S ribosomal RNA
Rfam family: Bacterial small subunit ribosomal RNA
Source: RNAcentral
UACAGAGGGGGCAAGCGUUGUUCGGAAUUACUGGGCGUAAAGGGCGCGUAGGCGGCCCGCUAAGUCGAACGUGAAAUCCCCGAGCUCAACUCGGGAACUGCGUCCGAUACUGGUGGGCUUGAAUCCGGGAGAGGGAUGCGGAAUUCCAGGUGUAGCGGUGAAAUGCGUAGAUAUCUGGAGGAACACCGGUGGCGAAGGCGGCAUCCUGGACCGGCAUUGACGCUGAGGCGCGAAAGCUAGGGGAGCGAACAGG